This 253-nucleotide ribosomal RNA is filed under the name uncultured bacterium. RNAcentral describes it as "partial 16S ribosomal RNA". It matches the Rfam family "Bacterial small subunit ribosomal RNA", at positions 524 to 776 of the family's 1533-position model. The record is from RNAcentral.
GACGUAGGGCGCGAGCGUUGUCCGGAUUUACUGGGCGUAAAGAGCGCGCAGGCGGUCGUUCAAGUCGAGUGUGAAAGCCCCCGGCUCAACUGGGGAGGGUCAUUCGAUACUGAUCGACUCGAAGGCAGGAGAGGGAAGUGGAAUUCCCGGUGUAGUGGUGAAAUGCGUAGAUAUCGGGAGGAACACCAGUGGCGAAGGCGACUUCCUGGCCUGUUCUUGACGCUGAGGCGCGAAAGCUAGGGGAGCAAACGGG